RNAcentral lists this long non-coding RNA (1791 nucleotides) under Bos grunniens (domestic yak). Its description in RNAcentral is "lncRNA (ENSBGRG00000002302.1)". Lineage: Eukaryota; Metazoa; Chordata; Mammalia; Artiodactyla; Bovidae. The record is from RNAcentral.
UUAUUUUUAUCGCCAUUGAAAAAGGAAAAACUAAAGUUCAGAAAACUCUAAGUAUAUAGUAAGCCAAGAUUCAAGCUGAGGAUUUACAACAAAUAACCCUGCCUUUUAACCACCACACUUGACCUCUCAGCACAGCAGCAGCAGUGUCUCUCAAAUAUGGUCUGAGGAUCCCUGCUUCAAAAGCACUGAGGCUGGUUUACUAAAAUGCAGAUUCUGGGGCCUUACCCCUUGUAUACUGACAUGGAACCUCUGGGAUGGGGGGCCCAGGACUCUGGAUUUUUAUUGAGCUCUCUGGCAACUCUCCUGCUCACUAACAUUUGCAAACAAAGACUGAUGGAUUAAGAUUUGGCCUCCAGUGAGGAUCUUCCCAGAUUGCUAAAUCAUGUUCAACUCUUUGUGACCCCAUGGACUACAGCACUCCAGGCUCCCCUGUCCUUCACUAUUUCCUGGAGUUUGCUCAGAUUCGUGUCCAUUGAGUUGGUGAUGCUAUCUAACCAUAGCUUCCCACAACAUUUAGUGGGAAACCUGGCCAGAGAGCUGGUCUUGGCUUGGGCAGGACUGGAGCCCAGAGCCCAGAGCUGGGGGAUCCAGACUGAUGCCAGAUCCUUCCCCAGAAGCAGGGUGCCUGUGCUUUGACCUGCUUCUGCAGACAGUGAAGAUAAAAGGGAACCUACACAUCAAGGGAAGAACUUCCAACCAGAGUCCCCUCUGUAACCAGGGCAGAGCCUUGGGAGGCAACAGGAAAGAAACCCUAAGGCUGGACCCGGCAGCCAUCUGUGCAGAAGAGUUGGGCCAGCGAACACCCAGAAGGACCAGAUGCCGGCCUGCGGGGACCUCUCCAGACUGUGGCUCCUGAGCUGGCACCCCUCUGGUUCAGGGCUCCUCAGCCCCAGCACAGUGCCUGAUGUUUAGCACAGCUCACUCAGUAAUUGACAAGGCCUGAAAUUCACAUUUUUAGUCCAACACCAUUUUCUAUGAGUCACGUGAAAAAUGUUGAUGGAGGUCCAGAGAUAACAAAAUAAGAGACAAUCAGGGUGAAUAAGUCCUCAGACCACGGAAUUUAGGUUCUGUUUCCCUGGAGGCUUGCAUGGUAAAGAAUCUGCAUGCAGUGCAGAUUCCUGGGUUCCAUCCUUGGGUCAUUGACAUCCCCUGGAAAAGGGAAUGGCUACCCGCUCCAGUAUUCUGGAAAAUUCCAUGGACAGAAUAGGAGCCUGGUGGGCUACAGUCCAUGGGAUUGCAAAGAGUCAGACAUGACUGAGUGACUAGCACUUUCACUUUUCACUUUUUCUCCCACUUGAUGAGCUCUGCAACCUUACAGAUAAGAAGGUUGCCCGUGAUGGGUCCUACCUGAGUCCAUGAAGAGGUGGUCUUUCACAAUCCUGCCUGCACAGAGUAUAUGUUCAAUAAAUGUGGGUUCUUGAUAUUUUUUAAUUGAGACAUAAACCAUAUAAAAUUUUGUAUAAAAUAAAAUACUUAGAUCUUAAGUAUUCCAUUUGAUGAGUUUUGGCAAUAUAAACCUGUAUAGAUAUUGUAUAAAUCUGCCUAGCUAUCAAGGUCUAGACAUGAAGCAUUUCCAAUCAUCCCUGAAAGUUCCCUCAUAACCCUUUCCAGUUGAUCUCUGCCUCCCUGCUCACAGAGGCAACUAUUUUCUGAUUUCCAUCAUCGUAGAUGAGCUUUGUCCAUUCGAGUACUUCACAUAAAGGGAAGCAUACAGUAUGUUCCCUGGACUCAUUUUUCUAUAUCUGUUACUGUUGUUGUUGUUCAGGAUAAUGUUUUUGAAACUCAUCCGUG